Molecule: transfer RNA, 72 nt
Filed under: Kineococcus aurantiacus
Lineage: Bacteria; Bacillati; Actinomycetota; Actinomycetes; Kineosporiales; Kineosporiaceae
Also listed under: 14 other names
Rfam family: tRNA
About the family: Transfer RNA (tRNA) molecules are approximately 80 nucleotides in length. Their secondary structure includes four short double-helical elements and three loops (D, anti-codon, and T loops). Further hydrogen bonds mediate the characteristic L-shaped molecular structure. tRNAs have two regions of fundamental functional importance: the anti-codon, which is responsible for specific mRNA codon recognition, and the 3' end, to which the tRNAs corresponding amino acid is attached (by aminoacyl-tRNA synthetases). tRNAs cope with the degeneracy of the genetic code in two manners: having more than one tRNA (with a specific anti-codon) for a particular amino acid; and 'wobble' base-pairing, i.e. permitting non-standard base-pairing at the 3rd anti-codon position.
Source: Rfam by way of RNAcentral
GCCCCGAUAGCUCAGUGGUAGAGCACUUCCUUGGUAAGGAAGAGGUCUCGAGUUCAAUCCUCGAUCGGGGCU